CAUCACGAGAGGUGGCAGGAGGCGGAACCACAUCAGAAGAAGAAGAAAAUAAUCAAGUGAUCCCAGCCGUGUUGGAUGAAGAGUCUGGCCACUCGAAAUAGCUUUUAGUUUAGAAGUGGCAGCCAAAGUCAUGUUUAUUGUUGAACAACUUCCAUAUAAAUGCUCAACAUUAGCACAUUAGUAUAUUGUUUGGAAUUGGGACUUGUUGUUUGUCUUUCUUCUUUCCUUUCUUCCCUCUUUAUCUAUCCAAAAAAAUGGAGGAGGAGCUGAACCAUCAGCAACAAACCAGAAACUAUCAUAUGGGAUGCAUUUUAUUAUUUUUUUUCUAAUUAUUAUUGUGGUAAUAGGUCUUAUUAUGUUAAUUAUUAUUGGUAGUACUAUUACUGGAAAAGGCUGUGGUUAUUAUGUAAGGGGUCAGUUUGCCGUGAUUUAGACUAUUUGAGGACUUGCCUUACUUUCUGUACUGUUUGUUUUUCACGUUGAUGCAUGGGCUUAAAAUUAACUUUAUGGAGCCAAAAAGGAAACAUAUUUGUAAAAUUACCAGCCCCUCUGAGUUUUCUUGAGCUUUAAAUGUUUUGUUCUAAAAAAAACAAACAGUUUGCAGCCAAAAAAAGAUAAUAUGACGGUGUUUCCAAGCAUAUUUAUUGGGUUACUUGGUGUUAAUUUAAGCCCUGCUGGUGUCUUUAGUCUUAAAAAGAAACAAGAUCAUUGCAUGAUGAAUAAAGAAUUGAGAAACCUU
Molecule: long non-coding RNA, 739 nt
Organism: Acanthopagrus latus (yellowfin seabream)
Lineage: Eukaryota; Metazoa; Chordata; Actinopteri; Spariformes; Sparidae
Exons: 2
Source: RefSeq, a predicted model, not a curated record